Molecule: ribosomal RNA, 806 nt
Filed under: uncultured bacterium
Lineage: Bacteria
Description: bacterial SSU rRNA
Rfam family: Bacterial small subunit ribosomal RNA
Source: RNAcentral
AGAGUUUGAUCCUGGCUCAGGACGAACGCUGGCGGCGUGCCUAAUACAUGCAAGUCGAGCGGACAGAUGGGAGCUUGCUCCCUGAUGUUAGCGGCGGACGGGUGAGUAACACGUGGGUAACCUGCCUGUAAGACUGGGAUAACUCCGGGAAACCGGGGCUAAUACCGGAUGCUUGUUUGAACCGCAUGGUUCAAACAUAAAAGGUGGCUUCGGCUACCACUUACAGAUGGACCCGCGGCGCAUUAGCUAGUUGGUGAGGUAACGGCUCACCAAGGCAACGAUGCGUAGCCGACCUGAGAGGGUGAUCGGCCACACUGGGACUGAGACACGGCCCAGACUCCUACGGGAGGCAGCAGUAGGGAAUCUUCCGCAAUGGACGAAAGUCUGACGGAGCAACGCCGCGUGAGUGAUGAAGGUUUUCGGAUCGUAAAGCUCUGUUGUUAGGGAAGAACAAGUACCGUUCGAAUAGGGCGGUACCUUGACGGUACCUAACCAGAAAGCCACGGCUAACUACGUGCCAGCAGCCGCGGCAAUACGUAGGUGGCAAGCGUUGUCCGGAAUUAUUGGGCGUAAAGGGCUCGCAGGCGGUUUCUUAAGUCUGAUGUGAAAGCCCCCGGCUCAACCGGGGAGGGUCAUUGGAAACUGGGGAACUUGAGUGCAGAAGAGGAGAGUGGAAUUCCACGUGUAGCGGUGAAAUGCGUAGAGAUGUGGAGGAACACCAGUGGCGAAGGCGACUCUCUGGUCUGUAACUGACGCUGAGGAGCGAAAGCGUGGGGAGCGAACAGGAUUAGAUACCCUAGUAGUCC